Arachis stenosperma is the source of this 1413-nucleotide RNA transcript. It is a transcript of the gene named mitochondrial import inner membrane translocase subunit TIM14-1-like, with no coding region annotated. NCBI's taxonomy places the organism in Eukaryota, Viridiplantae, Streptophyta, Magnoliopsida, Fabales, Fabaceae. The transcript has 5 exons. The record is from RefSeq and is a predicted model, not a curated record.
AGUUUAGUGUUAAAUUUGAAGAGAGUGCUUAUUGUGCAUGAGAAUUUUUGUAGAGAAAUCACUGAAAUCAGCCGUCCUAAGCCGAAGCAUAACAGUUACAGGAAGAAAAGGCAAAAUUGUGAGGUUAUCGAUUUCAUUUCCAUUUCAUCUUCCUCAGAAAAAAGAGAAACCCUAACUCUGCCUUGUUCGAUUACAGCCUUCAUAAGUCAUAACUCAGAAAUCAGAGCCUCCAUUCUAGCCCCAGGACACCGCGUCUCCCCCACGGUAUCGUCUCCUCGGUAGCUUACCCAAUAAAUUGUUCUCAUCUCGUUUUCUCUGUUAAUGUGUGUGUGUGAGAGAGAUAUGAUAAGGAAAUGGCUUUUGUUUGGGGUUGUGAAUUGGUGAUAUAAUAGUUCAAGGAAUAAACAUUGAUGAUGCUGUUGUGUGUUUCUAGCAUCUUAGGCUAGAAAGAAAAGAAAGAACUUAGACCAGUUUUACAGUGUCGGUGUAUUUGAGAUCUGAAACUGUGUUGUGACUGAUCUACCUGCCUUUGAGCGGUUUUGUUAGGAGAUUUCCUCAAGACUUAAUUGGUGGAAGGAAUUUUACAUUUUGCAGAUUUCUUGAUUGAAGGUUUCAACCGCUAUUAUGGGCUUGCUGUAGCUGCUGCUGCCUAUGCUGGUAGAUAUGGCAUUCAGGCUUGGCAAGCAUUCAAGGCAAGACCACCUAGGAUGCGUAAAUUUUAUGAAGGUGGUUUCCAGGUUACCAUGACUAGGAGGGAAGCGGCUCUCAUACUCGGUGUUAGGUACUGCCAUUUGUUGUUCUACUGUGAUGAUGAUCCUCAGAUGGUAUCUCAUUGCAACAAUCACUUAAAAGAGGAAAAAAUCUCUAAUAUCAAAUAGGUUGCAACACUGUUCUCAGGUUGAUUUCAUUCAAUUGUGAAAGAGAACACACUCCGACGGAUAAGGUUAAAGAAGCACAUAGGAGGGUGAUGAUCGCGAAUCAUCCUGAUGCAGGUGGCAGCCAUUACCUGGCAUCCAAAAUCAAUGAGGCAAAGGAUGUGUUGCUUGGAAAGACAAAGGGUGGUGGAUCAGCAUUUUGAAAAUAAUUAAGUCACGCUACAGUUUAGACAGUUGUUCUUGCUGAUACAAGUAUGAGAGAGUGGACAUGGGAUAAUGCACCAAAAUAAUCUAAUGGUAUAGAUCUUAGCAUAAUUUUACAUCAAUAUUCUUUUUAUUACAUCUAUACUGGGAUUAUCAUGGUGCAUCGUGUCACUUGGUACAUAAUGAUGUUCAAAUUGUAAUAAUGUUGGACUUUAGACUGGGUGGUGCGUUUGAUGUUUAAAGUUUAAACAAUAUGAUUUGAAUUUUCAUGUCAGUUUCAUAAACUUGGUGAGAUGUGAUUUAUAGAUGUGAAUUUAAUGUUUAUUUCUCUUCA